GAGUUUGAUCCUGGCUCAGGAUGAACGCCGGCGGUGUGCCUAAUACAUGCAAGUCGUACGCACUGGCCCAACUGAUUGAUGGUGCUUGCACCUGAUUGACGAUGGAUCACCAGUGAGUGGCGGACGGGUGAGUAACACGUAGGUAACCUGCCCCGGAGCGGGGGAUAACAUUUGGAAACAGAUGCUAAUACCGCAUAACAACAAAGGCCACAUGGCUUUGUUUGAAAGAUGGCUUUGGCCAUCACUCUGGGAUGGACCUGCGGUGCAUUAGCUAGUUGGUAAGGUAACGGCUUACCAAGGCGAUGAUGCAUAGCCGAGUUGAGAGACUGAUCGGCCACAAUGGAACUGAGACACGGUCCAUACUCCUACGGAAGGC
RNAcentral lists this ribosomal RNA (376 nucleotides) under uncultured microorganism. Its description in RNAcentral is "bacterial SSU rRNA". It matches the Rfam family "Bacterial small subunit ribosomal RNA", at positions 9 to 349 of the family's 1533-position model. The record is from RNAcentral.